RNAcentral lists this long non-coding RNA (1847 nucleotides) under Homo sapiens (human). Its description in RNAcentral is "HSALNT0204823". The record is from RNAcentral. Lineage: Eukaryota; Metazoa; Chordata; Mammalia; Primates; Hominidae.
GUAGGGGUUGGUUUUGGUUCUGGUUUAAAAAUUGUCGGUCUUCUUGGAGUAACAUCAUGUCCUGUAUGGUUCUCUGGGUGAAGGCUCGGAUGCGAUUUUGUAAAAACUGAGUGAAUAGGCGCAAGAGGCAGAGCCCAAAGGCCAGGAGAAGGAGGAUAGUUAUAGCAGGGCCAAGGAGGGGAAGUAGCCAGGUGGCCCAAGAACUGAGACACCAAGGGGACCAAGGGGGCCAAGAGGGCCAGGCAGAGGAGCUGUUUUAUUUUCUGAGCUUGGUCUUUGAGCUUCUUGACUGCAUCUUGUACCAAACCUGAUUGGUUGAGAUAAAAACAGCACUGCUCAUCUAAGAAAAUGCAGAGACCUCCUUUUUCAGGGGUAAGUCAAGACCUCUGCAGUUUUGGAGGACUACUGCUGCUAAUGAUUCCAAUUGUGAUUGGAGGUUUGAGACGGCAUUAGCUAUGCCCUCUAUAUGUCCAUAAGGUCUUUUGAGAGUGAGCGAUAGUAGGUGAGGGAAGUGGAUAGGCCUGCUAUUCCAGUUCCUGUGGCAGUGGCAAUUCCUAGUCUGGCAAGUAGGGAUAUGAGUUGUAUGGCUUGACGAUGUUGAACCGAGGCCUGAAUUGGGGUGGAGAGUAGAAGAGAGGAUAAUAUAAAGAUCACGCCAAGUGAGUUUGUAAGAUUGGGUAAGGUAUUUGAACUCCUUAAUAUAAGUGUCGGGAUCAGAGAAAAAGGACUCCAGAUGUUUUUCAAUUUGGAAAUGGUCAGAGAGGGAGAAGGGAACAUGGAAAUGCAAAUGAUCCCUUCAGUCCCAGCCACCUCUCAAAGGCUGUCUACCAUGGCAGAUGGAGGUGGUGAAGAUAUCACUGAACUCAUGAAACCAUAGGAAUCAAGUCUUCUGAAGUAGCACCAUUAUCAACUUCCACACACUGUUCACAAUAGACAAGAGUUGGAAGCAACCUCUGUGACCAUCAGCAGAGGAAUAAAUAAAGAAAAUGGGAUUCUUCUACACAAAGAGUACUAAUCAGCCAUAAACAAGAAUAGGAUCCUGUCAUUUGUAACAACAUGUAUGGAAUCAGAGCAUAUUGUGUUAAGUGAAAUAAGCCAGGCACAGAAAGACACUCUUCUUCCCAUGUUCUCAUUCAUUUUGGGGGGCUAAAAAUUUAAAAAAAUUGAACUCGUGGAGAUAGAGAGUAGAAUGGUGGUUGUCACAGGCUGGGUGAGUAGUACAGAGAGCGGGACAACCGGGAUAGUUAAUGGGUACAAAAUAUGGUUAGAAUGAAUAAGAUCUAAUAUUUUAUAGCACAACAGGAUGACUACAGUCAGCAAUAAUUUGUUGUACAUUUUGAAUAACUAAAGAAGUACAGUUAGAUUGUAACACUAAGAAAUUAGAAAUUAUGAAUGCUUGGGGUGUCAAAUAGCUCAUUUACUCUGAUGUGAUUAUUACACAUUGUAUACUUGUAUCAAAAUAUCUCAUGUGCCGCAUAAAUAUAUAAACCUACUAUGUACCUGUAAGUUUUUUUAAGCCAACUUAAAAAAUGCUUUAAAAGUGUACCAACAAAUUUUAUAAGCAAUAUUAUUCAAUAGUCAUCUGGUAAAACAACCUGUAAUUAUUAUUUGGUGUUCAUGCACAACUACGUAAAAGUUCUUCUUUCUUUAAUUAAAAAAAACUCUAAUAUGUGCAUGUUUUCAGUUCAAAUGUUUUAUUACAUUCUGGGACAAUUGCCUUGACAUGAUAAAACAUGGCCUCAGAUAUUUUAUAUUUUUUACAUUUGUUGAUAUUUUGGGGAAGGAAAUGUAUACUUCAUUUGUUAAUUAAUUUUUAAAAAAUUAUUAGUCUGUAUUUGUUGGAAACC